UACGAAGGGGGCUAGCGUUGCUCGGAAUCACUGGGCGUAAAGCGCACGUAGGCGGCUUUCUAAGUCAGGGGUGAAAUCCUGGAGCUCAACUCCAGAACUGCCUUUGAUACUGGAGAGCUUGAGUCCGGGAGAGGUGAGUGGAACUCCGAGUGUAGAGGUGAAAUUCGUAGAUAUUCGGAAGAACACCAGUGGCGAAGGCGGCUCACUGGCCCGGUACUGACGCUGAGGUGCGAAAGCGUGGGGAGCGAACGGG
This 253-nucleotide ribosomal RNA is filed under the name uncultured bacterium. RNAcentral's name for it is "partial 16S ribosomal RNA". It matches the Rfam family "Bacterial small subunit ribosomal RNA", at positions 524 to 776 of the family's 1533-position model. The record is from RNAcentral.